AGCAUAUCAAUAAGCGGAGGAAAAGAAACUAACAAGGAUUCCCCUAGUAACUGCGAGUGAAGCGGGAAAAGCUCAAAUUUAAAAUCUGGUGGUCUUUGGCCAUCCGAGUUGUAAUUUAGAGAAGCGUCUUCCGCGCUGGACCAUGCACAAGUCUCCUGGAAUGGAGCGUCAUAGAGGGUGAGAAUCCCGUCUUUGGCAUGGACCCCAGGGCUUCUGUGAUGCGCUCUCAAAGAGUCGAGUUGUUUGGGAAUGCAGCUCAAAAUGGGUGGUGAACUCCAUCUAAAGCUAAAUAUUGGCGAGAGACCGAUAGCGAACAAGUACCGUGAGGGAAAGAUGAAAAGCACUUUGGAAAGAGAGUGAAACAGUACGUGAAAUUGUUGAAAGGGAAACGCUUGAAGUCAGUCGCGUCGACCGAGACUCAGCCUUGCCUUGGCUUGGUGUACUUCUCGGCUGACGGGUCAGCAUCAAUUUCGAUCCUUGGAUAAUGGCAAGGGAAAGGUAGCACCUUUAUAGGUGUGUUAUAGUCCUCUGUCGGAUGCAAGGGUUGGGAUUGAGGAACUCAGCACGCGCCUUGUCGGUGUCGGGGCCUUUUGGCCUACGUACGUGCUUAGGAUGCUGGCAUAAUGGCUUUAAACGACCCGUCUUGAAACACGGACCAAGGAGUCUAACAUGCACGCGAGUGUUCGGGUGGAAAACCCGUGCGCGUAAUGAAAGUAAAAGUUGGGACCUCUGUCGUGGAGGGCACCGACGCCCGGACCAGACCUUCUGUGACGGCUCUGCGGUAGAGCGUGUAUGUUGGGACCCGAAAGAUGGUGAACUAUGCCUGAAUAGGGUGAAGCCAGAGGAAACUCUGGUGGAGGCUCGUAGCGAUUCUGACGUGCAAAUCGAUCGUCAAAUUUGGGUAUAGGGGCGAAAGACUAAUCGAACCAUCUAGUAGCUGGUUCCUGCCGAAGUUUCCCCUCAG
This 964-nucleotide ribosomal RNA is filed under the name Russula sp. RNAcentral describes it as "partial large subunit ribosomal RNA". It matches the Rfam family "Eukaryotic large subunit ribosomal RNA", at positions 37 to 976 of the family's 3401-position model. Lineage: Eukaryota; Fungi; Basidiomycota; Agaricomycetes; Russulales; Russulaceae. The record is from RNAcentral.